GUGCCGGAGCAUCGUUAACGAGGCAGCCCGUGCUCGGUUCUCACCACAAACCAAAGACGAGUAGCGAAGGAUUCGCAAGAAGCUUUCUUUCCUCGGAACACAUCCGCAAUCGCUUGCUCUCAGGAUCAAAUCUUCUCCCUUCUGGAAAUGGUGCUACAAUAAGAGUAACCUCUUUCGUCAUCGGACAAAUAUGUGCAGGUUUGGCAACUGAUUAGUAGCCUAAGAUGCCGCUAGAAGAGAAGAAACACUAGUAUCUGUUUCAACUUCUUUGCAAAAACUGAGCAAGAGCCUUAUAGUAAUUUUCUGACUCCGCCAUUUAACGAUGCUCCUCUUGUUGGAAAGUUGAGGUUGAACAAGUAGAUGAACAGAAACUCCACUGUGCGUGUGUUCAUCACCAUUUGCAUUAUUAGGCAUUCA
Zingiber officinale is the source of this 417-nucleotide long non-coding RNA. RefSeq lists it as uncharacterized. The record is from RefSeq and is a predicted model, not a curated record. NCBI's taxonomy places the organism in Eukaryota, Viridiplantae, Streptophyta, Magnoliopsida, Zingiberales, Zingiberaceae. The transcript has 3 exons.